GUAUAAGAGACAGCAGCCGCCACGGGAAUACAGAGGGUGCGAGCGUUAAUCGGAUUUACUGGGCGUAAAGCGUGCGUAGGCGGCUUCUUAAGUCGGAUGUGAAAUCCCUGAGCUUAACUUAGGAAUUGCAUUCGAUACUGGGAAGCUAGAGUAUGGGAGAGGAUGGUAGAAUUCCAGGUGUAGCGGUGAAAUGCGUAGAGAUCUGGAGGAAUACCGAUGGCGAAGGCAGCCAUCUGGCCUAAUACUGACGCUGAGGUACGAAAGCAUGGGGAGCAAACAGGAUUAGAUACCCCUGUAGUCCCUGUCUCUUAUAC
This 314-nucleotide ribosomal RNA is filed under the name uncultured bacterium. RNAcentral's name for it is "partial 16S ribosomal RNA". It matches the Rfam family "Bacterial small subunit ribosomal RNA", at positions 495 to 807 of the family's 1533-position model. The record is from RNAcentral.